GAUGAACGCUGGCGGCGUGCCUAAUACAUGCAAGUCGAGCGAACAGACGAGGAGCUUGCUCCUCUGACGUUAGCGGCGGACGGGUGAGUAACACGUGGAUAACCUACCUAUAAGACUGGGAUAACUUCGGGAAACCGGAGCUAAUACCGGAUAAUAUAUUGAACCGCAUGGUUCAAUAGUGAAAGACGGUUUUGCUGUCACUUAUAGAUGGAUCCGCGCCGCAUUAGCUAGUUGGUAAGGUAACGGCUUACCAAGGCAACGAUGCGUAGCCGACCUGAGAGGGUGAUCGGCCACACUGGAACUGAGACACGGUCCAGACUCCUACGGGAGGCAGCAGUAGGGAAUCUUCCGAAAUGGGCGAAAGCCUGACGGAGCAACGCCGCGUGAGUGAUGAAGGUCUUCGGAUCGUAAAACUCUGUUAUUAGGGAAGAACAAAUGUGUAAGUAACUAUGCACGUCUGGACGGUACCUAAUCAGAAAGCCACGGCUAACUACGU
RNAcentral lists this ribosomal RNA (496 nucleotides) under uncultured bacterium. RNAcentral's name for it is "partial 16S ribosomal RNA". It matches the Rfam family "Bacterial small subunit ribosomal RNA", at positions 28 to 506 of the family's 1533-position model. The record is from RNAcentral.